AACGAACGCUGGCGGCAUGCCUAACACAUGCAAGUCGAACGAGACCUUCGGGUCUUGUGGCGCACGGGUGCGUAACGCGGGGGAACCUGCCCUUAGGUACGGAAUAACUCCCCGAAAGGGGUGCUAAUACCGGAUAAUGUCUUCGGACCAAAGAUUUAUUGCCUUUGGAUGGGCCCGCGUUGGAUUGGCUGGUUGGUAGGGUAAAAGCCUAACAAGGCGACGAUCCAUAGCUGGUCUGAGAGGAUGAUCAGCCACACUGGAACUGAGACACGGCCCAGACUCCUACGGGAGGCAGCAGUGGGGAAUAUUGGACAAUGGGCGAAGGCCUGAUCCAGCAAUGCCGCGUAAGUGAUGAAGGCCUUAGGGUUGUAAAGCUCUUUUACCCGGGAUGAUAAUGACGGUACCGGGAGAAUAAGCUCCGGCUAACUCCGUG
Molecule: ribosomal RNA, 433 nt
Filed under: uncultured bacterium
Lineage: Bacteria
Description: partial 16S ribosomal RNA
Rfam family: Bacterial small subunit ribosomal RNA
Source: RNAcentral